This 529-nucleotide ribosomal RNA is filed under the name Comamonas sp. RNAcentral describes it as "bacterial SSU rRNA". It matches the Rfam family "Bacterial small subunit ribosomal RNA", at positions 200 to 725 of the family's 1533-position model. Lineage: Bacteria; Pseudomonadati; Pseudomonadota; Betaproteobacteria; Burkholderiales; Comamonadaceae. The record is from RNAcentral.
CGUAAGGCCUCGCGCGAUUGGAGCGGCCGAUGUCAGAUUAGGUAGUUGGUGGGGUAAAGGCCCACCAAGCCGACGAUCUGUAACUGGUCUGAGAGGACGACCAGUCACACUGGGACUGAGACACGGCCCAGACUCCUACGGGAGGCAGCAGUGGGGAAUUUUGGACAAUGGGCGCAAGCCUGAUCCAGCAAUGCCGCGUGCAGGAUGAAGGCCUUCGGGUUGUAAACUGCUUUUGUACGGAGCGAAAAGCCUUGGGCUAAUACCCUAGGGUCAUGACGGUACCGUAAGAAUAAGCACCGGCUAACUACGUGCCAGCAGCCGCGGUAAUACGUAGGGUGCGAGCGUUAAUCGGAAUUACUGGGCGUAAAGCGUGCGCAGGCGGUUAUGUAAGACAGAGGUGAAAUCCCCGGGCUCAACCUGGGAACUGCCUUUGUGACUGCAUAGCUAGAGUACGGCAGAGGGGGAUGGAAUUCCGCGUGUAGCAGUGAAAUGCGUAGAUAUGCGGAGGAACACCGAUGGCGAAGGCAAU